UACGGAGGGAGCUAGCGUUGUCCGGAAUUAUUGGGCGUAAAGAGCUCGUAGGCGGUGUGUCACGUCGGCCGUGAAAACCUGCAGCUUAACUGUGGGCGUGCGGUCGAUACGGGCAUCACUGGAGUUCGGCAGGGGAGACUGGAAUUCCUGGUGUAGCGGUGAAAUGCGCAGAUAUCAGGAGGAACACCGGUGGCGAAGGCGGGUCUCUGGGCCGAUACUGACGCUGAGGAGCGAAAGCGUGGGGAGCGAACAGG
This 254-nucleotide ribosomal RNA is filed under the name uncultured bacterium. RNAcentral's name for it is "partial 16S ribosomal RNA". It matches the Rfam family "Bacterial small subunit ribosomal RNA", at positions 524 to 776 of the family's 1533-position model. The record is from RNAcentral.